This is a long non-coding RNA of Dermochelys coriacea (leatherback sea turtle), 147 nucleotides long. RefSeq lists it as uncharacterized. The record is from RefSeq and is a predicted model, not a curated record. The transcript is spliced from 3 exons. Lineage: Eukaryota; Metazoa; Chordata; Testudines; Dermochelyidae.
UGAGCUCUACUCUGACACCUGGUGCAGGGGUUGCAUCUGUGACCAUCUUGAUUACUAGCCAUUGAUGGACCUAUCCACUACGAACUUAUCUAGUGCUUUUUUUCAAACCCAGUUAUACUUUUGACCUGCACAACAUCCCCUGGCAAC